This is a long non-coding RNA of Meleagris gallopavo (turkey), 2650 nucleotides long. The record is from Ensembl. Lineage: Eukaryota; Metazoa; Chordata; Aves; Galliformes; Phasianidae.
AGACCUAUCCCCGCCGUUCCCAUAUGUCCUGUGGGGUCUUCAUCCCAUAUGGACCUGACCCCACUGAGCCACUUGGGGUCCUGAUCCCAUAGAGACCCAUCCCUGCCGUUCCCUUUCAGCCUUGGGGUCCUGAUCCCAUAGGAUCCCAUCCCCACUGUGGAUGUUUUCCCUUUGGGGUCUCAAUCCCGUGGAGACCCACCCCCACCGUUCCCAUAUGUCCUGUGGGGUCUUCAUCCCAUAUGGACCUGACCCCAUUGAGCCCUUUGGGGUCCUGAUCCCAUGGAGACCCAUCCCCGCUGUUCCCAUAUGUCCUGUGGGGUCUUCAUCCCAUAUGGACCUGACCCCACUGAGCCACUUGGGGUCUCAAUCCCAUGGAGACCCAUCCCCGCUGUUCCCAUAUGUCCUGUGGGGUCUCAAUCCCAUAGAGACCCAUCCCUGUCAUCCCAUUUGCCCCAUGGGGUCCUGAUCUCAUAGGAUCCCAUCCCCACUGUGGAUGUUUUCCCUUUGGGGUCUCGAUCCCAUGGAGACCCAUCCCUGCCAUUCCCAUAUGUCCUGUGGGGUCUCAAUCCCAUAUGGACCUGACCCCAUUGAGCCCUUUGGGGUCCUGAUCCCAUAGAGACCCACCCCUGCCGUUCCCUUACAGCUUUGGGGUCCUGAUCCCAUAGGAUCCCAUCCCCACUGGGGUCGGUGCCCUUUGGGGUCUCAGUCCCAUGGGGUCCCCCCCCACCGUCCCCAUUCACCCCGUGGGCUCACAGGAUCCCAUCCCACUGCAGAUGUGAUGUGCGUCCUUUGGGGUCCUGGUCCCAGGACGUCCAUCCGUGUGUCCCCAAGGUGUCCGUGUGUCCCACAUGUCCCUGUCCCCAUGAUGCCCACGUGUCCCAUGUCAUCCUGUCCCAAGGUGUCCAUGUGUCCCACACAGCUUUGUCCCCAAGGUGUCCGUGUGUCCUCUGUGUCCCUGUCCCCAAGGUGUCCCUCUAUGGGUCUCAUGUGGUUUUGUCCCCAAGGUGUCCGUGUGUCCCUGUCCCCAGGAUGUCCAUCCAUGUCCCCAAUGUGUCCCCAUCCCAAGACGUCCGUCCGUGUGUCCCACAUGCUCCUGCCCCCAAGGUGUCCGUGUGUCCUACACAGCUUUGUCCCCAAGAUGUCCAUCCAUGUGCCCUACGUGUCCCAUGUCAUCCUGUCCCCAGGAUGCCAUCCACGUGUCCCCGUGUCCCUGUCCCCAAGAUGUCCUUUUAUGGGUCCCACACUGCCUUGUCCCCAAGGUGUCCGUGUGUCCCAUGUGGUUUUGUCCCCAAGAUGUCCAUGUUUCCCACACAGCUUUGUCCCCAAGGUGUCCGUGUGUCCUCUGUGUCCCUGUCCCCAAGGUGUCCCUCUAUGGGUCCCAAUACUGCCUUGUCCCCAAGGUGUCUGUGUGUCCCUGUCCCCAGGACGUCCAUCCAUGUCCCCAAUGUGUCCCCAUCCCCGAGACGUCCGUCCGUGUGUCCCACAUGCUCCUGUCCCCAGGGUGUCCGUGUGUCCCACACAGCUUUGUCCCCAAGGUGUCCAUCCAUGUGCCCUACGUGUCCCAUGUCAUCCUGUCCCCAGGAUGCCAUCCAUGUGUCCCUGUGUCCCUGUCCCCAAGAUGUCCUUUUAUGGGUCCCACACUACCUUGUCCCCAAGGUGUCUGUGUGUCCCCGUCCCCAAGAUGCCCAUAGGUGUCCACACAGCUUUGUCCCCAGGAUGCCAUCCAGUGUCCCCCGUGUCCCUGUCCCCACGCUGUCCUUUUAUGGGUCCCAUGUGCUUUUGUCCCCAACAUGUCCGUGUGUCAGGAUGUCCGUCCGUGUGUCCCACACAGCUUUGUCCCCAAGCUGUCCAUCCCAGUACCCACAUGGUGGCCCCACGGUGCCCACGCCCAGGUAAUCAGACACAAAACCCCCCAAAACCCCCACAAACCCAUCAUCUCUGAGAAAACCUCUUUAAAUACAGCAGCACAGAAAAGGGCCGUGGGGGCAGCGGCGUCAGCACUGCGCCGCGUCCUCAAAGCUGGGGUUGGCGAAGGCUGCGCCCCACACCGCGCCGGCCUUGGUGCCCUCCGUGCCACCGGGUUUGGUGUCACCAACGUCAACUGUGGUGCCCUCUGUGCCAAACCUGGUGCCCCCCGUGCCAAAUCCAGUGCCCCCUGUGCCGGAUCUGGUGUCUUCAGUACCGGAUCUGGUGCCCUCCACGUCAUCUUUGAUGCCCUCCAUGCCAUCUUUGGUGCCCUCCACGCUGAGCGGUGCGGGACCUGCGGGCGCAGCGGGACGGGGUCACCCCCAGAUGGUGGGACGGGGGACCCUUGGGGUGGGGGGGGCGGGGGGGGGGUCCGGGGUCCGCACCCAUGUAGCUGAGCAGGACGGGCAGGAAGACGAGGCCGUGAGCGAGGCCCACCAGCGUGAUGAUGAAAUUGAGACGGAAGAAGAAGAUCUGGAUGAGCUGCGCUUUGGCGAAGGCCAAAACCACGACGCCCGGCAGGUUGGUCAUGGCCACCCCGGCCACCACCUGGCAUCGGGGACACGUGGGGUGAGGCGUGGGGCGAGGCGUGGGGCGAGGUUCGGGGUGACCCACGCGUCCCCGCGCCCCACACCUUGCUGCCCAUGUUGAUGGUGGCCUCGGCCGCGCGCUCCACGCGGGUGGG